AACCAAAACAAUUUUGCUAUGU
Molecule: small nuclear RNA, 22 nt
Filed under: Arabidopsis thaliana (thale cress)
Lineage: Eukaryota; Viridiplantae; Streptophyta; Magnoliopsida; Brassicales; Brassicaceae
Description: snRNA_01234
Source: RNAcentral